GCGUAUCUUUGCUAGAAUCACUGAGUUGAUGUUGUAAUAUUUGGUUUUGAUAAAGUUCCUGUUGUUAACACCAACCAAAACAAAAUACAUGUAAAGUUGAAGUCUCAAAAUGUAACAUAGGACUAUAUUUGGGUGAUAAAAUGUUGCUGUUUCUCUUACCAAAGCUUUAAUACCUUUCAUUCGGAUGGUUUGGAUUGUAUAGUAGUCCAUAUAUAUGUUUAUGNCUCAAAAUGUAACAGAGGACUAUAUUUGGGUGAUAAAAUGUUGUUGUUUCUCUUACCAAAGCUUUAAUACCUUUCAUUCGGAUGGUUUGGAUUGUAUAGUAGUCCAUAUAUAUGUUUAUGUGCUGUGUAACCAAACAUUUGAACAUAUACUUUGUCAUUUUCAUGAAUUAUGGAGUUACAUGAAAACUAAUGACUUGUGAUGUUUGCAGUUGUAGGGUAACCAUACAAAUUAAGGUGCACAACUGCUGCAAGCCUGCAGCCAUGGCUUGCUUGAAUAACUGCUGCACGUCAAAUAAACUAGCUAGUUCGCUUUGUGAUGUUGAACUUGCAAAACAUUGCGUGUUUGUGUUGAAUGAUUAUCUCUUUAUUUCACACUACGUAUUUAAUCUUGGGCAUAGACUGAGCCAAGCCCCGGGUUCGACUCGGUGAUUGUCCAGGUAAUAUCUUGUUUUAGUUAUUAUAUUCAUAUUGUAUAUUGCAUUUUUUUUUUUCAAUUUUUCAUAUAUAAAAUUGUAGCUUCGUCCAUUCAAACUUGUUUGUAACUUUGUAAAUAUAAAAACAUAAUUUGGUCCGUCCAUUUCUAGUCCCGUCUCUAAAUUCUUGGGUGGA
This 833-nucleotide long non-coding RNA is filed under the name Salvia miltiorrhiza (redroot sage). Its description in RNAcentral is "long non-coding RNA (SMIL_LNC008250)". Lineage: Eukaryota; Viridiplantae; Streptophyta; Magnoliopsida; Lamiales; Lamiaceae. The record is from RNAcentral.